GACAGUAAACAAAAGGUCCGUUUUUUCAUUUUCUGAGACCGGAAGUGGUCAUCAGCAAGUGUGGAGCCAAACAGAGUACGGUGCAUAGACUGUAUAUACAUUUUUUUUCGUUAGUUUUCAUGGUCAGAAUGAGAGAUCAGGUGGCCGAUCUUAAAAUAAAUCAAUAUUGAAUUUUUUUAUAUAGAGCGUUAAAGUUUUGCGAAGCCAGGGGGCGGGACUACUUGAUUGACAGUCCGGUCUGGAAUGAUUGACAGGUCCUAUGGAGGAGGCAGCAGAGACUCUGCUCUCCUCGUUUGGAUUAAUUCUGAUAUAAUAACUGUUGGUUUAUUUAUCGGUGCAGCAGCAGAACAUUUUCCACAGACAGUUUUCCUGCCCGUUGGCUUGUUUUAACCAGUUUUCUGCCUUCGGCUGAUUCUACCAGCAGACACUGAAAGGACUCUGAUAGUUCGAGUGAAAGUAGCAGUUCCUCCUUAAGGUCAGAGAUUGCAGCAUCUGAGGGCCUCUUCAAAAGAAGAUGUAGUCGAUGAAGGCGUUCUGGAGCAGGACCAGAAAGACCACGACCAAGCAGCGUUGAGAUCUUAGGCAGCGUCUCCCUCAGGUCCCUCUCUAUUUCCCCACACAUCCACCAACCACUGGAACACAUCUCCAAAGUUCUGCCGGGCCAGCUCAGCUUCCCUUCAGAAGAAGUGCCGCCACCUGCCAGAUGAAGGAGCCUUUUGAGAGGCAGCUGGCAUCGUGAUUGGACUGUCCUUUGUUCUAUUCCAAUCCAGCUUCAGCUCCAGAGACAGCAGGCGGGACGAGUCAACGGAGGCCGGGUGGACGAAGGCAUGCAGCUGAGUACAAUCCAGAAAACAACAGAGGAGGAGUGCAGCAGCCCAGGACCAGAACAGAGUACCAUAGUAUGUCUCUGAGAAAACAUCAUAGUAUAGCCUUUGGUAUGAAAAAACGCCAUCAUAUACAUCGUAUAUUGUACAAAUAACAAGUCAAAGGAAAGAGACAUACAUUGUAGAAUUGUA
Long non-coding RNA from Amphiprion ocellaris (clown anemonefish), 1016 nucleotides. RefSeq lists it as uncharacterized. The transcript has 3 exons. The record is from RefSeq and is a predicted model, not a curated record. NCBI's taxonomy places the organism in Eukaryota, Metazoa, Chordata, Actinopteri, Pomacentridae.